GUGGGCGACCAUACCACGCUGAAAGCACCGGUUCUCGUUCGAUCACCGAAGUUAACCAACGUUGGGCCCGGUCAGUACUUGCCAGCUUGAUGUCAGCU
RNAcentral lists this ribosomal RNA (98 nucleotides) under Trichobilharzia regenti. Lineage: Eukaryota; Metazoa; Platyhelminthes; Trematoda; Strigeidida; Schistosomatidae. The record is from RNAcentral.